Long non-coding RNA from Hirundo rustica (Barn swallow), 343 nucleotides. RefSeq lists it as uncharacterized. The record is from RefSeq and is a predicted model, not a curated record. Lineage: Eukaryota; Metazoa; Chordata; Aves; Passeriformes; Hirundinidae. The transcript has 4 exons.
UGAAAAUAUCCUGAACUAUAAAGGAAGAAUAAUCAAGCUCAAACUUAUCCUUAAUUGACCUUUGCAUUUCUAACCCUGCCACAGGCUUGAGAAAAGUGCAGAGCAAGCAGAAUGGACAAUAACGUUUGGAUACAGAGAGUGACCAAAAUACUCUUUGCAAGCUCUCAGGGAAAGAUCAGUGGGGUGCUGUGAUAUCACUGGCAUUUUCUUUCUCACCUCCCUUGUGAAAUCCCCAAAUCUGCUGUGAGGGCAACCUGAGAAACAGCCAAAUGGAAAGUGGUUUUCUCGAAUCAUUCAGGUUAUAAGCAGGAUCGCCGGGCGAGGAAGGAGGCGGCUUCCCGAG